Molecule: long non-coding RNA, 2247 nt
Organism: Glycine soja
Lineage: Eukaryota; Viridiplantae; Streptophyta; Magnoliopsida; Fabales; Fabaceae
Exons: 6
Source: RefSeq, a predicted model, not a curated record
UCUGCGCCUUCUCUCUGCUUCAAAUCAUUUUCUUCUCUCUGCAUCUUCUUUGCCUUCUUAGGGUUUGGGUUUGUGCUUGUGCUUGCUGCGUGCUUCUGUCACUCAUUUUCUGGUGAGGAAAACAACAUUCUUCUUCUUACCUCAUGGAUUUCUCUUUCAUUGCUCUUUGUGAUGAUCACAUGCUGCAUUUGUUGUUUUCUGAUUAUUUUUCUUCCUUUUAUUUCAUCCUCAGUGUUUGUUUCACCGUUUAAUCGAGGCUUAUUGUUGGUUGAAAUGUGCAUGAAAUGAAUUACUACUACUACUGAUGAAUUUCAAUGAGGUGGUAGUUGAUGCAUCUUUAAUAUGAAAUGCAUGUGUUCGUGAAUAAUUUGAAGCACUAAUCAAUUAAUGUAGCUGACUGUUGCGAGUAAUCGCUUCUUUGGAAGUGUUCCUGUACAUCUCUGCUAUUUGAGGCAAAUUUGUCUCUUGGAUCUUUCAAGGAAUAACUUGUUAGAAGGAAUUCCAACAUGUCUGAGCAAUUUUACUGCAAUGAGGGAAAUGGGAGUAAUCCGAAGAAAAAUUGUUACGAGACAAAGGUUGACAUAUGGAGUUAUGUCCUCAAAUGUUUAUGACUCUAAUGUGUUAUUGAUGUGGAAGGGUCAGGAAUAUUUGUAUUUGAAUCCUGAGUUUCUUUUGAAGAGCAUUGAUCUCUCAAGUAAUGAUUUAACAGGUGAAAUACCAAAGGAGGUAAGAUAUUUACUUGAAUUAGUUUCUUUGAAUUUAUCAAGAAACAGAUUAAGUGGAGAAAUUCUUCCUGAGAUUGGGAAUUUAACUUCACUAGAGUUAUCAAGAAAUCAUUUCUCUUGUGAAGUUCCUUCUACUCUUUCCAAAAUUGAUCGUCUUGCCAUGUUAGACUUAUCUAACAACUAUCUUGUUGGAAGAAUCCCCUGGGGAAGACAGCUUCAGACCUUUAGUGCCUCUACUUUUGAAGGAAAUACCGAUCUUUGUGGUGAACCACUUAACAAAAGCUGCCCUGUAAAUGGCACAGCAACAAAGCCUCAAGGACCAGCAAUUCAUGAUGAUGAUGACAAUUCAGUUUUCUGUGAAGCAUUAUAUAUGAGCUUGGGGUUAGGAUUCUUCACAGGCUUUUGGGGCUUAAUAGGUACAAUACCACUUUGGCAAUCGUGGAGAAAUGCUUACCUGAUGUUCUUAAACAAACUGACAGAAUAUAUAUUAGUAAUGGUUGAAGUGAACAUAGCAAAGUCCCAUAGGUGGCUCAAGGGCUAGUGGGAGCCAGUUCUUCCUGGAUGUUUCUUGUGAGCCAGGGCCGUUGGACUGAUGUCCAUGAUUGAGAGAGUACUGAAUUAAUUCUACACUUGUACUUUAAAUAUGCAUAACCAUUGUUUUUUCAAAGUUUUCAUUGUCAAAAAAUGGGCCAGGCUAAUAUAGUUUGCACAACUUUUUCCUGACACAAUCAAUCAUUUUAAUAUUCAAGUUGCUUGUUAGCCUCAUAUGCUUUUUCAGGCUGUCCGGGUCAAUAUUUUCAGAGGAUUCAAAUUCUCACUUUCAUGGUGGGCCUACACAUUUCCGAUGAGCAUGUUGAGUGGGAGGAUAUACAUGAGCAACGUGCACUCAACGUCUUUUUGGCCGUUGGUGAUUGUGUUCUAGUUGGCUUCCAGGCAGCGGUGGAAGCAUAGGCCAACAUCGUGCAUGAAGUUAAGGAGAAAAUCCCAUUACCUAUCGUCCAGGAACAAAAGUCUCCUAGAAAGAAGAAUCCAGUCUUUGGCCCAUUAGGCAUGGUUAUAAAAGUCUAGCCUCAAACUUGGUAAAAUCUAUAGUGACAGACAAUUAGCUGUCAUUACACGCCUCCUUAAUCCUCAAAGUUGAUGGAAGAAAUAUUGGUAGAAUAAAGUCUAAAGUCUAUCAUGCAUUUAUCUAUGGAUUUUUUUAUUUAUAUUGACAAUUUUUUUCCUAAGUAUAGGUUAUUUUUUUUAGUGAGGCUUCGUGCACCAAUAGGAGGCUCGAUGCACGUUUUAUCCUUGCAUAUAUCAUUUCUCAGAAGCAGUCAAGUCACUUACAAUUGCAGAAGCAGUCAAGUCACUUACAAUUGCAGAAGCAGUCAACACUAUAAUCUUACAACGGAAUAGAAUUCACAUCACUCUUGAGCAAUGUAAUCAUUAUAUAGUUUGGCCAAUCAUUACGUAGUUUUGUUAUAUGGGGGCACAAUAUUUUAUUUAUUUUUAUUUAUCUUUGAGCAUAUUUUUAUUA